This 456-nucleotide ribosomal RNA is filed under the name Neisseria flavescens. Its description in RNAcentral is "bacterial SSU rRNA". It matches the Rfam family "Bacterial small subunit ribosomal RNA", at positions 30 to 487 of the family's 1533-position model. The record is from RNAcentral. Lineage: Bacteria; Pseudomonadati; Pseudomonadota; Betaproteobacteria; Neisseriales; Neisseriaceae.
AUUGAACGCUGGCGGCAUGCUUUACACAUGCAAGUCGGACGGCAGCACAGAGAAGCUUGCUUCUUGGGUGGCGAGUGGCGAACGGGUGAGUAACAUAUCGGAACGUACCGAGUAGUGGGGGAUAACUAAUCGAAAGAUUAGCUAUACCGCAUAUUCUCUGAGGAGGAAAGCAGGGGACCUUCGGGCCUUGCGUUAUUCGAGCGGCCGAUAUCUGAUUAGCUAGUUGGUGGGGUAAAGGCCUACCAAGGCAACGAUCAGUAGCGGGUCUGAGAGGAUGAUCCGCCACACUGGGACUGAGACACGGCCCAGACUCCUACGGGAGGCAGCAGUGGGGAAUUUUGGACAAUGGGCGCAAGCCUGAUCCAGCCAUGCCGCGUGUCUGAAGAAGGCCUUCGGGUUGUAAAGGACUUUUGUCAGGGAAGAAAAGGUUGUUGCUAAUAUCGACAGCUGAUGACG